RNAcentral lists this ribosomal RNA (823 nucleotides) under Lasiobolidium spirale. Its description in RNAcentral is "partial large subunit ribosomal RNA". It matches the Rfam family "Eukaryotic large subunit ribosomal RNA", at positions 82 to 921 of the family's 3401-position model. Lineage: Eukaryota; Fungi; Ascomycota; Pezizomycetes; Pezizales; Pyronemataceae. The record is from RNAcentral.
AGUAACUGCGAGUGAAGCGGCAAGAGCUCAAAUUUGAAAUCUGGCGUCUUUCGGCGUCCGAGUUGUAAUUUGGAGAGACAUCUUCGGAGAAGGGGCCGUUCUAAGUUCCUUGGAACAGGACGUCACAGAGGGUGAGAAUCCCGUGCUCGGGCGGCUACCCAUCUCCAUGUGAAGUGUCUUCGACGAGUCGAGUUGUUUGGGAAUGCAGCUCAAAAUGGGUGGUAAAUUUCAUCUAAAGCUAAAUAUUGGCGAGAGACCGAUAGCGCACAAGUAGAGUGAUCGAAAGAUGAAAAGCACUUUGAAAAGAGAGUUAAAAAGUACGUGAAAUUGUUGAAAGGGAAGCGCUCGAGACCAGACUCGACUUUCACCGAUCAGCCGUGCUUCUGUGCGGUGCACUCGGGGUUUGUCGGGCCAGCAUCGGUUCCGGCGGUGGGAUAAAAGGCGAUGGAAUGUGGCUCCCCUCGGGGAGUGUUAUAGCCAACGUCACAAUGCCACCAGCUGGGACCGAGGAACGCGCUUCGGCGAGGAUGCUGGCGUAAUGGUCUUUAGCGACCCGUCUUGAAACACGGACCAAGGAGUCUAACAUCUAUGCGAGUGUUCGGGUGUAAAACCCCUGCGCGAAAUGAAAGUGAACGGAGGUGGGAACCCGCAAGGGUGCACCAUCGACCGAUCCUGAUGUCUUCGGAAGGAUUUGAGUAGGAGCAUAGCUGUUGGGACCCGAAAGAUGGUGAACUAUGCCUGAAUAGGGUGAAGCCAGAGGAAACUCUGGUGGAGGCUCGCAGCGGUUCUGACGUGCAAAUCGAUCGUCAAAUUUGGGUAUAGG